GGAGCAGGUCCCAAGGGUUGGGCUGUUCGCCCAUUAAAGCGGUACGCGAGCUGGGUUUAGAACGUCGUGAGACAGUUCGGUCCCUAUCCUCUGUAGCCGUAGGAGAUUUGAGAAAGGCUGUCCCUAGUACGAGAGGACCGGGAUGGACGCAGCUCUCGUGUGCCAGUUGUUCCGCCAGGAGCAUGGCUGGUUGGCGACCUGCGGAAAGGAUAAGCGCUGAAAGCAUCUAAGCGCGAAACCUGUUUCGAGAUGAGAUCUCCCACUGGAUAACCAGGUAAGGCCCGUGGCAGACCACCACGUUGAUAGGCCGGAUGUGUAAGCACGGUAACGUGUUCAGCAGACCGGUACUAAUCGGCCGAGGGCUUGGGCUC
RNAcentral lists this ribosomal RNA (371 nucleotides) under Acidimicrobiaceae bacterium. Its description in RNAcentral is "bacterial LSU rRNA". It matches the Rfam family "Bacterial large subunit ribosomal RNA", at positions 2555 to 2925 of the family's 2925-position model. Lineage: Bacteria; Bacillati; Actinomycetota; Acidimicrobiia; Acidimicrobiales; Acidimicrobiaceae. The record is from RNAcentral.